GAAAUUCGCCUUCAUGAAGCUGGAAUUGCUAGUAAUGGCAGGUCAGCAUACUGCCGUGAAUACGUUCCCGGGUCUUGUACACACCGCCCGUCACACCAUGGGAGUCAGCAACGCCCGAAGCCGGUGACCCAACCGAAAGGAGGGAGCCGUCGAAGGUGGGGCCGAUAACUGGGGUGAAGUCGUAACAAGGUAAC
RNAcentral lists this ribosomal RNA (194 nucleotides) under uncultured bacterium. RNAcentral's name for it is "partial 16S ribosomal RNA". It matches the Rfam family "Bacterial small subunit ribosomal RNA", at positions 1307 to 1500 of the family's 1533-position model. The record is from RNAcentral.